RNAcentral lists this transfer RNA (69 nucleotides) under Ictidomys tridecemlineatus (thirteen-lined ground squirrel). RNAcentral describes it as "Spermophilus tridecemlineatus (thirteen-lined ground squirrel) tRNA". It matches the Rfam family "tRNA". From Rfam's summary of the family: Transfer RNA (tRNA) molecules are approximately 80 nucleotides in length. Their secondary structure includes four short double-helical elements and three loops (D, anti-codon, and T loops). Further hydrogen bonds mediate the characteristic L-shaped molecular structure. tRNAs have two regions of fundamental functional importance: the anti-codon, which is responsible for specific mRNA codon recognition, and the 3' end, to which the tRNAs corresponding amino acid is attached (by aminoacyl-tRNA synthetases). tRNAs cope with the degeneracy of the genetic code in two manners: having more than one tRNA (with a specific anti-codon) for a particular amino acid; and 'wobble' base-pairing, i.e. permitting non-standard base-pairing at the 3rd anti-codon position. Lineage: Eukaryota; Metazoa; Chordata; Mammalia; Rodentia; Sciuridae. The record is from Rfam by way of RNAcentral.
GGGAUUGUGGCUCAGUGGUAGAGCACUUGCCUAUGAUGUGUGAGGUCCUGGGUUUGAUCCUCAGCACCA